RNAcentral lists this ribosomal RNA (340 nucleotides) under uncultured soil eukaryote. RNAcentral describes it as "eukaryotic LSU rRNA". The record is from RNAcentral.
CGCAGAACCGUGAUGUCAUCAGAUUUUUGAACGCAACUGGCGCUAGCUGGGUCUCCAGACCGCAUGCUCUGUUUCAGUGUCUUUUGUUCUCCUUACCCAGGACGCAAUGCGAGAGAUACCCUUCUCUUGUCAAGCAUGAAAGCACUCUGCGCUCUGCGAGCGGCUCCUGGACUCGUUCGGGUGUCGCACUCAUUGCAGCCGUCACAUUGCUAACACUGUGAACUCAUUGAGAGCACAGGCUGUGCAGCUCACGCUGCCAGUGCUUAGUCACUUAAACUUACUUUGCAUCUGAAAUCAAGCAGGAUCACCCGCUGAACUUCGCCGUAUCCUUCAUCGGUGG